GUUGCAAUACUGGUUCUUGUAUGAUCAUCAAAGUUAAGCCAUGUUGAGCCUGAUCAGUACCUAAAUGGGUGACCACUUGGGAAUACCAGAUGCUGUAAG
Non-coding RNA from Acanthosepion pharaonis, 99 nucleotides. NCBI's taxonomy places the organism in Eukaryota, Metazoa, Mollusca, Cephalopoda, Sepiida, Sepiidae. The record is from the annotation of a GenBank genome assembly.